This 541-nucleotide long non-coding RNA is filed under the name Medicago truncatula (barrel medic). RNAcentral's name for it is "long non-coding RNA (MTRU_LNC000925)". The record is from RNAcentral. Lineage: Eukaryota; Viridiplantae; Streptophyta; Magnoliopsida; Fabales; Fabaceae.
UAAAAGAUAAACCUAAUCCAUCUCUAUACAACAAAUGAGUAAGAAAAGAUGGUGGUGAAGACCACCAUUGAGAGGAAUUCAUGGCAAGACCUUGACCAUUCUUUGCCAAUGUAUCAGCAACCAUGUUUCCUUCUCUAAGAACAUGAGUAAAGGAACACCUAAUUUGUAGGGGUGGGCAAAAAAACCAAAAAUUGAACUGAACUGCUAUUGAACAGAACUACUAUGUAAAAAUUACGAACUGAUCCAUACUUAAAGAGCAGUUAUUAACUGAACUGAACCUUUUUGAUAAAAAAAUCAAAACUAAACUUGAACCAGAAACGUUGAUUUGUUCACUGUGUUUCCUUUGUUGAGUUCUUUUACUGUGUUUGUUUGCUAAUUUGCUCACUGUCUUUGCUAGUUUGUUUGCCAAAUUGAACCAAAAUUGCUUUUGGAACUUCUCAUUCUUCCCUGAAGUCUUACAAUAUCGUUGUAUACUGACUCAAAUAAACAUGCUUACAGGGAAUCUAAGAAUGAGUGAAGGAGGUGGAUCUCUAUUAUUUUU